RNAcentral lists this transfer RNA (72 nucleotides) under Ovis aries (sheep). It matches the Rfam family "tRNA". From Rfam's summary of the family: Transfer RNA (tRNA) molecules are approximately 80 nucleotides in length. Their secondary structure includes four short double-helical elements and three loops (D, anti-codon, and T loops). Further hydrogen bonds mediate the characteristic L-shaped molecular structure. tRNAs have two regions of fundamental functional importance: the anti-codon, which is responsible for specific mRNA codon recognition, and the 3' end, to which the tRNAs corresponding amino acid is attached (by aminoacyl-tRNA synthetases). tRNAs cope with the degeneracy of the genetic code in two manners: having more than one tRNA (with a specific anti-codon) for a particular amino acid; and 'wobble' base-pairing, i.e. permitting non-standard base-pairing at the 3rd anti-codon position. The record is from Rfam by way of RNAcentral. Lineage: Eukaryota; Metazoa; Chordata; Mammalia; Artiodactyla; Bovidae.
UCCCUGCUGGCUCAGAUGGUAAAGCAUCUGCCUGCAAUGCAGGAGACCCGGGUUUGAUUCCUGGGUCGGGAA